GAUGAAGAACGUAGCGAAAUGCGAUAAGUAAUGUGAAUUGCAGAAUUCAGUGAAUCAUCGAAUCUUUGAACGCACAUUGCGCCCGCCAGUAUUCUGGCGGGCAUGCCUGUUCGAGCGUCAUUUCAACCAUCAAGCCCCCGGCUUGUGUUGGGGACCUGCGGCUGCCGCAGGCCCUGAAAAGCAGUGGCGGGCUCGCUGUCACACCGAGCGUAAUAGCAUACAUCUCGCUCUGGGCGUGCUGCGGGUUCCGGCCGUUAAACCACCUUCAUAACCCAAGGUUGACCUCGGAUCAGGUAGGAAGACCCGCUGAACUUAAGCAUAUCAAUAAGCGGAGGA
This 336-nucleotide unclassified non-coding RNA is filed under the name soil metagenome. RNAcentral describes it as "partial contains 5.8S ribosomal RNA, internal transcribed spacer 2, and large subunit ribosomal RNA". The stretch from base 1 to 120 matches the Rfam family "5.8S ribosomal RNA", at positions 35 to 154 of the family's 154-position model. The record is from RNAcentral.